Molecule: ribosomal RNA, 403 nt
Filed under: uncultured bacterium
Lineage: Bacteria
Description: partial 16S ribosomal RNA
Rfam family: Bacterial small subunit ribosomal RNA
Source: RNAcentral
GACGAACGCUGGCGGCGUGCCUAAUACAUGCAAGUCGAACGCAGUGGGGACGGGUGAGUAACACGUGGGUAACCUCCCAUCAGAGGGGAUAACACUUGGAAACAGGUGCUAAACCGAUACUGAUGGAUGGACCCGCGGUGGAUUAGCUAGUUGGUGAGGUAACGGCUAACCAAGGCCACGAUGCAUAGCUGACCUGAGAGGAUGAUCGGCCACACUGGAACUGAGACACGGUCCAGACUCCUACGGGAGGCAGCAGUGGGGAAUAUUCGGCAAUGGACGAAAGUCUGACCGAGCAACGCCGCGUGAGUGAAGAAGGUUUUCGGAUCGUAAAACUCUGUUGUUGGGGAAGCGGUAUCUAAACAGAAAGCACCGGCUAACUACGUGCCAGCAGCCGCGGUAAUUC